Mycena rebaudengoi is the source of this 96-nucleotide non-coding RNA. The record is from the annotation of a GenBank genome assembly. NCBI's taxonomy places the organism in Eukaryota, Fungi, Basidiomycota, Agaricomycetes, Agaricales, Mycenaceae.
GACUCGGUAGCGGAGGGUCCGCGUCUGCCUCAAAUGUGGGAAUAACAUUCGAAGCUGAGUACACAGAUGUCGCCUGUUCGAUUCAGGCCCGAGUCA